GGGAUCUUGUUAAAAUACAGAUUUUGAUUCAGGAGAUCUGGGGUGAGGUUUGAGAUUUUGCAUUUUUAACAAGAUC
This 76-nucleotide microRNA precursor is filed under the name Mustela putorius furo (domestic ferret). Its description in RNAcentral is "miRNA (ENSMPUG00000020813.1)". Lineage: Eukaryota; Metazoa; Chordata; Mammalia; Carnivora; Mustelidae. The record is from RNAcentral.